Dermochelys coriacea (leatherback sea turtle) is the source of this 2458-nucleotide long non-coding RNA. RefSeq lists it as uncharacterized. Lineage: Eukaryota; Metazoa; Chordata; Testudines; Dermochelyidae. The transcript is spliced from 3 exons. The record is from RefSeq and is a predicted model, not a curated record.
GUAGGUUUCCAAUAACUCGGGGUUUUCGGGUUUCUCGCUUGUAUACUGUAAUGAGUAAUGGAUAUUAUGUUAUAUCCACUACUCAUUACAGUAGUAUAUACUGUAACAAGUAAUUUCCUUGUAAUGUUCCCUAAGGCACUUUAACAUAGUGCUGUUUGAAACAGCACUAUAUAAAAGCACACUAGGGAGCCUUUAGUGUACACCAGCAGAGUCUACAUGGACCAAUUAAUGUACAACAUGCUAAUGUGCUUUAGGAAUUACACUCAUGUAGUACACAUUACUGCUCUGUUGGGACAGGCCCUUAGAGGCAAAUAACCAUUUACAGUGUUUAUCCAGUGUUUACUGGCUAAAAACACCUAUUUCAUUUUUUUAAUGGAAGGAGGUGGUCUUUAUUGGUUAAAACCUAAAACCAGAGGUCCUACAUACAUUUUAUCCCAAUUCAAGAAAGCAGUUAAGCAUGUGCUUAAGGACCAGAUUUUUAAAGGCAUUUAAGUGUUGCUGCACUCAGUGUUGCAAUACCUAAAGGGUUUAGCAGUUUAAGUCUCGUUUUCAAAAGGGAUUUAGACACUUAGGUUCUAAGUAUCUAAAUUAAUUUUCAAAAUGAGACUUAGACUUUGCAAAGUUGAGUGCAGCAACCGCCUCAAUACCUUUAAAAAUCUAGGCCUAAGCACUUUCCUGAAUCGGAAUCAUAUAAAGAAGCUUGGCAGCUAAAUUACUGUUUUUAUGUACAUCCAUAUAAAUCUAGCUAAAUUCUUGAGUCAACACCUCAUAUAAAUGCACAGACAAAAAAAAUGCAAAGCAUAAUGAAGUUUCUUUCCAUUUAUUUAUGAUCUCGAUCAGGAUUAAGUAUCUCUUGUGCCUCCAAGACUGAAUUCCAGCUGUCUCCAAAUGCAAAGCGCACUGCUCCAGCAGUUCACUUUUUGCAAAGCAAGCCAGCGUUUCCAGGUAUGAAAAAAUAAUUUACGGUCAAACAGGCAUCAUUAUGGAAAAGUCCAUAAUCUACUGCAAUACUAGAUGGUUUAAAUCUUGGUGUUGUGGGAGCUGAAUGAGGAUACCUGCAACCCAUUCAAAUGGGAGUUGGGGAACCAGGCUACUCCUCACUUUGGCAGGCAGCAGCUAUUCAUGGCCAUUCCUGGUGCAGAUUAGAAGCCACUGAAGUCAAUGAGAGCCCUGCAUCAAGUGAAGGUAGAAUUUGGCAGGAGGUGAUCAAAAUUACAAAAAAGAUUCAAGAAGUGAUUGCAGGAUAGGAAGCAUAAAUGGAGUCACAUACUGAAUAGUUACUAGUUUCAGUACAAAAGGCUACAAAGCAGUAGGAAAUAGGAAAUUUCCAAAAGAAAUUCUCACAACAGCAGGAGGAGGGAGGAAAACAGGAGCUGCAGAGAGACGUUUUUCCAGAAGCAGUCACCAGACCAGAGACUGUGUGCUGAGGUCUAAGAAAAGCAAAGAGGAAUUUAGUAUUAUGAACUGACAUAGCCUUGGAGAAGUGCAGACAUAAGCUAUUACCUUUUUGUAAUACACAGUGACCCACCGCAGUGCAACAUCCUAAUAGACGUACAGCUUUCACUUAAAAGCAAUGUUUUCACAAGCAAAGGAGCAUUUCCAGGUGCUGUAAACUUGUUCUUAAAAGUACGCUUCUAAGGAUAGCUUAGGAAUGAAUACCAACAAGAAUAGACCAUUCCUAGGACACUGUUAGUGCAGAUAUAAAACAGGGAUGACAAAGUGGAUAAAGCCCUGAGUUGAGAAGCUGAAGUGGGGAAAAAUCUUCAGAGAUCUGGAAAACACCCAGGUGAAGAUAAAGUGAGGAAUUCCAAACUGCAGAUUAUUACUAGCCGUAUAUAAUAAAGUUAUUGGCACAAGUAGGAAAGUGUUUUACAAAUGCAUACACUAGACUGCAGAGGUAGGAAGCAAGAUUAUGAAAAGGAGUUUAGGCACAAGGAGCUCAGAUAGCACAUACAAUCGGGGAUUUACUAUAAUACUUUUCAAGCUUGGUUCUCCACUGCCUUGCACGAGGCAUGCCAUAACUUACACCUGAGCAAAGUGGACGUAAAACACUACCAUUAUCAUUUUUUAGUAUAUCCUAUUUACUUUGCAUAGAUGCAGGCAACAACACAAGGCAUAAAGCACUCAAUUCAUCAACUUGAGGGAGAACUCUGCUGAAAACGUUAAAAUUCUCUUUGAUGGCUGACGUUCUGCUAACUGUCCUAAAGUGCCUGAAAAUUUAGAAAACAAGACCCAGAUUAGCGAGGCGUUUUACUUUAAGUAUGUAAAUAGUCACACUGAAGUCAAACUGCAGAACCAAGUCCUGUAAAAUAAAUAUGCAAGAGGCUUCAGGGGUUCAGGCUUUAGUGAGGUUUGGGGAGCUUAAGUGGUUCUCAAAUGGCCCAAGACUCAUUAUUUCCUAAUUUUAUAACUAUCCAUUGCAAAAUAAAACAAAAAUUUUCUUUUCUACUUGUACCUC